RNAcentral lists this ribosomal RNA (253 nucleotides) under uncultured bacterium. RNAcentral describes it as "partial 16S ribosomal RNA". It matches the Rfam family "Bacterial small subunit ribosomal RNA", at positions 524 to 776 of the family's 1533-position model. The record is from RNAcentral.
UACGUAGGGGGCAAACGUUGUCCGGAUUUACUGGGUGUAAAGGGUGCGCAGGCGGCUUCGCAAGUCAGACGUGAAAUCCCCGAGCUUAACUUGGGAAUUGCGUUUGAAACUACGAGGCUAGAGUGUGGCAGAGGGAGGUGGAAUUCCACGUGUAGCGGUGAAAUGCGUAGAUAUGUGGAGGAACACCGAUGGCGAAGGCAGCCUCCUGGGCUAACACUGACGCUCAUGCACGAAAGCGUGGGGAGCAAACAGG